This 487-nucleotide ribosomal RNA is filed under the name uncultured bacterium. Its description in RNAcentral is "bacterial SSU rRNA". It matches the Rfam family "Bacterial small subunit ribosomal RNA", at positions 32 to 523 of the family's 1533-position model. The record is from RNAcentral.
AACGCUGGCGGCGUGCUUCAAACAUGCAAGUCGAACGGAGUUAAUUUUGAAGCUUGCUUUAGAAUUAACUUAGUGGCGGACUGGUGAGUAACGCGUGAGUAAUCUGCCUAUCACAGGGGGAUAACAGAGGGAAACUUCUGCUAAUACCGCAUAAGACCACAGGAUGGCAUCAUCAAGGGGUCAAAGGUUAGAUCUGGUGAUAGAUGAGCUUGCGUAUCAUUAGCUAGUUGGUGGGGUAAAGGCCCACCAAGGCGACGAUCAGUAGCCGGACUGAGAGGUUGAACGGCCACAUUGGGACUGAGAUACGGCCCAGACUCCUACGGGAGGCAGCAGUGGGGAAUAUUGCACAAUGGGGGAAACCCUGAUGCAGCAACGCCGCGUGAAGGAUGACGGUUUUCGGAUUGUAAACUUCUGUUCUCGUUGACGAAGACAGUGACGGUAAACGAGGAGCAAGCCACGGCUAACUACGUGCCAGCAGCCGCGGUAA